Molecule: ribosomal RNA, 349 nt
Filed under: uncultured bacterium
Lineage: Bacteria
Description: bacterial SSU rRNA
Rfam family: Bacterial small subunit ribosomal RNA
Source: RNAcentral
AGAGUUUGAUCAUGGCUCAGGAUGAACGCUAGCUACAGGCUUAACACAUGCAAGUCGAGGGGAAACGACAUCGAAAGCUUGCUUUUGAUGGGCGUCGACCGGCGCACGGGUGAGUAACGCGUAUCCAACCUGCCCAUCACUUGGGGAUAACCUUGCGAAAGUAAGACUAAUACCCAAUGACGUCUCUAGAAGGCAUCUGAAAGAGAUUAAAGAUUUAUCGGUGAUGGAUGGGGAUGCGUCUGAUUAGCUUGUUGGCGGGUAACAGCCACCAAAGCAACGAUCAGUAGGGGUUCUGAGAGGAAGGUCCCCCANAUUGGAACUGAGACACGGUCCAAACUCCUAGGGAGCA